CGCAGAGCAGCUUGAAAAUGUCCCUCGUGAGAUGCAGUUAAACCAACCACAUUUUUGUCGACAUGGUUGCACCGCCAUGUUGGUAAGGGAAUUUGGUUCAGGAUAAGUGUUGGUUUUGGGUUCCACCCGGACUCCUCCCAGCUACCUCGUCCUUCACACACAGGAUUUGAUCAAGAGAGCUACGGAGUAACCGAGGUGAUGCCAAGCUGCCAAAGAGAGAGAGACGGAGCAGAGACAUUGCAGAGGCGGUUUUGUAACUAACCGUGCACCGAUGCUAAAUUUGAACAAUAAUUUGCCUGGUUAAUACUAUUUUCUUACGAAUAAUAAAUGCCCCUAUAUUUAUUACAGUUUUGUUAGCUUGAAACCAACUACAAAGCAUUACUCAGAGUGUCAGUCUGGUAACUGUAUAUGCUACAUGUAAUGUAAACUACUAUGAAUAAUAAUAAUAAUAAUAAUAAUAAUAAUAAUAAUAAUAAUGACGACGACAACUUAAACUAUCAAUGUUAGGAUUCGACCUGUGUGUUUAUUUUUAAGCAUCAGAAUAAUAUUCUCACAGUUAAUCGUUGGGUUUAAUGUAGCAUCAGGUAUGUUCUGCUGCACACAACUCACUAUCCUAUUUAUUGUCUUAAUAUAUUUAAAUAAAAAAUCCAAAUAUCGAUAUUGCUGUAUUUACUGCAUUUUGGUGGCACAUUACACAGCACUGGGAAAAUGAGUGUCUGUUUUUCUUGUGUCAUAAGGGCGCCUGACCAAACAUUAAAUUCUGUGCUGGAAGAAAUUCAAGCAUGCAUAUUGGUGUACAUUAUUGGCUAAAAUAACAAAAACUACCGAUAGCCGAUUGUGUUUUUUGUCCCCUUAUAUCGGUGCCAUGCCAAUAGGUUAUCGGUGCACCCCUAGUUUCCAUGUUAACGGAUAAAGUUAAUCCCGCAUUCUGUGUUUCCAGUAACUUCAGAAUUAAGGCCAAAGAACCUAAUGCUUGUUGGGAGUUAGACUGGAGUGACAUUGUACCACAUUUUUUUCUGUACAGUAGCUAAACAAAUGUGCCUUUUUUAUGUGGAAUUUAGCUCCACAGUAAAUCAACAGGAUUCCAGUGAGUUUACUGGUGUGGUGUGCAUGAACUGUGUUUCCCACGUUCUUCAGCCACUUCCUACAUCCCUUUUUGUAUUCUUUAGUUAAAGCAUCACAGGAAGUGGUUGAAUAUGAUCACGACAGGCACAAUAUCAACACAGUUCAGAAAUGGACAUGGACAAUUCCACAGAUAGAGGACGUGGCAUUAGAGACUCAAAUAUUUGUAUUUUUAUAACAAACCCAUUUUAUUUGUAAAACGUAAAAGAAGUACAUCAUCUGCUAAUAUAUUUAAGUGCUAAAGCUUUUUUGUGACCGUCUUGGCAGUACAUUCAUACAAACUUGUGCUCUACGACACUUUAAUUAAACAGAAAGCAGAUUUUGUUGGAUUGUCCAAUUUUGCGUUUAAAAAAAAAAAAAAAAAAAAAAAAAAAAGUAAACUGUGAUAGAUGCUGUUAAGCAGUGUUCGUCAGUUGUAGAAAUGCACUAACCAGUG
This is a long non-coding RNA of Polyodon spathula (Mississippi paddlefish), 1558 nucleotides long. RefSeq lists it as uncharacterized. NCBI's taxonomy places the organism in Eukaryota, Metazoa, Chordata, Actinopteri, Acipenseriformes, Polyodontidae. The record is from RefSeq and is a predicted model, not a curated record. The transcript is spliced from 3 exons.